GCGGUGGAUGAUGUGGUUUAAUUCGAUGCAACGCGAAAACCUUACCCACCUUUGACAUGUACGGAAGCCUUUAGAGAUAGAGGCGUGCUUGAAAGAGAGCCGUAACACAGGUGCUGCAUGGCUGUCGUCAGCUCGUGUCGUGAGAUGUUGGGUUAAGUCCCGCAACGAGCGCAACCCUUGUCAUUAGUUGCUACAUUCAGUUGGGCACUCUAAUGAGACUGCCGGUGACAAGCCGGAGGAAGGUGGGGAUGACGUCAAGUCCUCAUGGCCCUUAUAGGUGGGGCUACACACGUCAUACAAUGGCUGGUACAAAGGGUUGCCAACCCGCGAGGGGGAGCUAAUCCCAUAAAGCCAGUCGUAGUCCGGAUCGUAGUCUGCAACUCGACUACGUGAAGUCGGAAUCGCUAGUAAUCGUGGAUCAGAAUGUCACGGUGAAUACGUUCCCGGGUCUU
This 452-nucleotide ribosomal RNA is filed under the name uncultured Rhodoferax sp. Its description in RNAcentral is "bacterial SSU rRNA". It matches the Rfam family "Bacterial small subunit ribosomal RNA", at positions 929 to 1382 of the family's 1533-position model. Lineage: Bacteria; Pseudomonadati; Pseudomonadota; Betaproteobacteria; Burkholderiales; Comamonadaceae. The record is from RNAcentral.